CCCUGCCAUUUGUACACACCGCCCGUCGCUACUACCGAUUGAAUGGCUUAGUGAGGACUUGGGAGAGUACAUCGGGGAGCCAGCAAUGGCACCCUGACGGCUCAAACUCUUACAAACUUGGUCAUUUAGAGGAA
This 134-nucleotide ribosomal RNA is filed under the name uncultured eukaryote. Its description in RNAcentral is "partial small subunit ribosomal RNA". It matches the Rfam family "Eukaryotic small subunit ribosomal RNA", at positions 1651 to 1781 of the family's 1831-position model. The record is from RNAcentral.